Molecule: non-coding RNA, 207 nt
Organism: Vicia faba (fava bean)
Lineage: Eukaryota; Viridiplantae; Streptophyta; Magnoliopsida; Fabales; Fabaceae
Source: the annotation of a GenBank genome assembly
AUGAGCAGUGGACGUCAACCGGAGAAGAAAACUGAGCGGCGAGCCAAGGUUUCAAAGAAUUCUGUUUUUUUUUCUUUUAUAGUUACGUCGUCUAUUUUAUAUUUAAUAGAUAUUUUAUAUUUUAUGAAGGAUAAUUGGAUGGUGGUGUUUUAUCAAGUUUCCGCCAACCCUUUCUUAAUUUCGUUUCCACCAAACUCUGAAGGUUAA